UGCCAGCAGCCGCGGUAAUACGUAGGUGGCAAGCGUUGUCCGGAAUUAUUGGGCGUAAAGGGAGCGUAGGUGGUUUGUUAAGUCUGAUGUGAAAGCCCGCGGCUCAACCGCGGAGGGUCAUUGGAAACUGACAAACUUGAAUACAGCAGAGGUAAGUGGAAUUUCAUGUGUAGCGGUGGAAUGCGUAGAUAUAUGAAGGAACACCAGUGGCGAAGGCGACUUACUGGGCUGAUAUUGACACUGAGGCUCGACAGCGUGGGGAGCAAAUAGGAUUAGAUA
RNAcentral lists this ribosomal RNA (279 nucleotides) under uncultured bacterium. Its description in RNAcentral is "partial 16S ribosomal RNA". It matches the Rfam family "Bacterial small subunit ribosomal RNA", at positions 506 to 784 of the family's 1533-position model. The record is from RNAcentral.